UGACAUAAGUAACGAUAAAGCGGGUGAAAAGCCCGCUCGCCGGAAGACCAAGGGUUCCUGUCCAACGUUAAUCGGGGCAGGGUGAGUCGACCCCUAAGGCGAGGCCGAAAGGCGUAGUCGAUGGGAAACAGGUUAAUAUUCCUGUACUUGGUGUUACUGCGAAGGGGGGACGGAGAAGGCUAUGUUGGCCGGGCGACGGUUGUCCCGGUUUAAGCGUGUAGGCUGGUUUUCCAGGCAAAUCCGGAAAACCAAGGCUGAGGCGUGAUGACGAGGCACUACGGUGCUGAAGCGACAAAUGCCCUGCUUCCAGGAAAAGCCUCUAAGCAUCAGGUAACAUCAAAUCGUACCCCAAACCGACACAGGUGGUCAGGUAGAGAAUACCAAGGCGCUUGAGAGAACUCGGGUGAAGGAACUAGGCAAAAUGGUGCCGUAACUUCGGGAGAAGGCACGCUGAUAUGUAGGUGAAGCGACUAGCUCGUGGAGCUGAAAUCAGUCGAAGAUACCAGCUGGCUGCAACUGUUUAUUAAAAACACAGCACUGUGCAAACACGAAAGUGGACGUAUACGGUGUGACGCCUGCCCGGUGCCGGAAGGUUAAUUGAUGGGGUUAGCGGUAACGCGAAGCUCUUGAUCGAAGCCCCGGUAAACGGCGGCCGUAACUAUAACGGUCCUAAGGUAGCGAAAUUCCUUGUCGGGUAAGUUCCGACCUGCACGAAUGGCGUAAUGAUGGCCAGGCUGUCUCCACCCGAGACUCAGUGAAAUUGAACUCGCUGUGAAGAUGCAGUGUACCCGCGGCAAGACGGAAAGACCCCGUGAACCUUUACUAUAGCUUGACACUGAACAUUGAGCCUUGAUGUGUAGGAUAGGUGGGAGGCUUUGAAGUGUGGACGCCAGUCUGCAUGGAGCCGACCUUGAAAUACCACCCUUUAAUGUUUGAUGUUCUAACGUUGGCCCGUAAUCCGGGUUGCGGACAGUGUCUGGUGGGUAGUUUGACUGGGGCGGUCUCCUCCUAAAGAGUAACGGAGGAGCACGAAGGUUGGCUAAUCCUGGUCGGACAUCAGGAGGUUAGUGCAAUGGCAUAAGCCAGCUUGACUGCGAGCGUGACGGCGCGAGCAGGUGCGAAAGCAGGUCAUAGUGAUCCGGUGGUUCUGAAUGGAAGGGCCAUCGCUCAACGGAUAAAAGGUACUCCGGGGAUAACAGGCUGAUACCGCCCAAGAGUUCAUAUCGACGGCGGUGUUUGGCACCUCGAUGUCGGCUCAUCACAUCCUGGGGCUGAAGUAGGUCCCAAGGGUAUGGCUGUUCGCCAUUUAAAGUGGUACGCGAGCUGGGUUUAGAACGUCGUGAGACAGUUCGGUCCCUAUCUGCCGUGGGCGCUGGAGAACUGAGGGGGGCUGCUCCUAGUACGAGAGGACCGGAGUGGACGCAUCACUGGUGUUCGGGUUGUCAUGCCAAUGGCACUGCCCGGUAGCUAAAUGCGGAAGAGAUAAGUGCUGAAAGCAUCUAAGCACGAAACUUGC
RNAcentral lists this ribosomal RNA (1516 nucleotides) under Escherichia coli. Its description in RNAcentral is "partial 23S ribosomal RNA". It matches the Rfam family "Bacterial large subunit ribosomal RNA", at positions 1298 to 2797 of the family's 2925-position model. Lineage: Bacteria; Pseudomonadati; Pseudomonadota; Gammaproteobacteria; Enterobacterales; Enterobacteriaceae. The record is from RNAcentral.